This 98-nucleotide small RNA is filed under the name Mycobacterium heidelbergense. Its description in RNAcentral is "Mycobacterium sRNA ncrMT1302". It matches the Rfam family "Mycobacterium sRNA ncrMT1302". Lineage: Bacteria; Bacillati; Actinomycetota; Actinomycetes; Mycobacteriales; Mycobacteriaceae. The record is from Rfam by way of RNAcentral.
AAGCGACCAAUUCGAAGCGCCGGACGAUGGGGUAGGACGCCGGCCGCGUCGGACUAAGGUCCGACGCCCCCUGAAGUCGCCCGGGCCUGCCCAUGCGU